This 450-nucleotide ribosomal RNA is filed under the name uncultured bacterium. RNAcentral's name for it is "partial 16S ribosomal RNA". It matches the Rfam family "Bacterial small subunit ribosomal RNA", at positions 354 to 796 of the family's 1533-position model. The record is from RNAcentral.
GUGGGGAAUCUUCCGCAAUGGACGAAAGUCUGACGGAGCAACGCCGCGUGAGUGAAGAAGGUUUUCGGAUCGUAAAGCUCUUUCGUUAGGGACGAACGUGCUCUUUGUGAAUAAUGAGGAGUAAUGACGGUACCUAAAUAAGAAGCCACGGCUAACUACGUGCCAGCAGCCGCGGUAAUACGUAGGUGGCAAGCGUUGUCCGGAAUUAUUUGGCGUAAAGCGCGCGCAGGCGGGAUAUCAAGUCUGUCUUAAAAGUGCGAGGCUCAACCUCGUGAGGGGACAGAAACUGGUAUUCUUGAGUGUCGGAGAGGAAAGUGGAAUUCCAAGUGUAGCGGUGAAAUGCGUAGAGAUUUGGAAGAACACCAGUGGCGAAGGCGACUUUCUGGACGAUGUCUGACGCUGAGGCGCGAAAGCUAGGGGAGCGAACGGGAUUAGAAACCCGUGUAGUCC